This 30-nucleotide non-coding RNA is filed under the name Mus musculus (house mouse). Lineage: Eukaryota; Metazoa; Chordata; Mammalia; Rodentia; Muridae. The record is from RNAcentral.
UAGGAGCUCAGUUUAAGAAAGAGCACGUGA